GACAGAGGGUGCAAACGUUGUUCGGAAUUACUGGGCGUAAAGCGUGUGUAGGCGGCUAGGUAAGUCGGAUGUGAAAGCCCCGGGCUCAACCCGGGAAGUGCACUCGAUACUGCUUAGCUCGAGUACCGGAGAGGUUGGUGGAAUUCUCGGUGUAGAGGUGAAAUUCGUAGAUAUCGAGAGGAACACCGGUGGCGAAGGCGGCCAACUGGACGAGUACUGACGCUGAGACACGAAAGCGUGGGGAGCAAACAGG
RNAcentral lists this ribosomal RNA (253 nucleotides) under uncultured bacterium. RNAcentral describes it as "partial 16S ribosomal RNA". It matches the Rfam family "Bacterial small subunit ribosomal RNA", at positions 524 to 776 of the family's 1533-position model. The record is from RNAcentral.